GUGAGGAAUAUUGGACAAUGGGCGCAAGCCUGAUCCAGCCAUGCCGCGUGCAGGAAGACGCAUCUAUGGUGUGUAAACUGCUUUUGUACGGGAAGAAACACUCCCUCGUGAGGGAGCUUGACGGUACCGUAAGAAUAAGGAUCGGCUAACGCCGUGCCAGCAGCCGCGGUAAUACGGAGGAUCCAAGCGUUAUCCGGAAUCAUUGGGUUUAAAGGGUCCGUAGGCGGUUUAAUAAGUCAGUGGUGAAAGCCCAUCGCUCAACGAUGGAACGGCCAUUGAUACUGUUAGACUUGAAUUACAAGGAAGUAACUAGAAUAUGUAGUGUAGCGGUGAAAUGCUUAGAUAUUACAUGGAAUACCAAUUGCGAAGGCAGGUUACUACUUGUGGAUUGACGCUGAUGGACGAAAGCGUGGGGAGCGAACAGGAUUAGAUACCCCAGUAGUCC
This 445-nucleotide ribosomal RNA is filed under the name uncultured bacterium. RNAcentral describes it as "partial 16S ribosomal RNA". It matches the Rfam family "Bacterial small subunit ribosomal RNA", at positions 354 to 796 of the family's 1533-position model. The record is from RNAcentral.